RNAcentral lists this ribosomal RNA (258 nucleotides) under Pneumocystis jirovecii. RNAcentral's name for it is "partial large subunit ribosomal RNA". It matches the Rfam family "Bacterial large subunit ribosomal RNA", at positions 819 to 1070 of the family's 2925-position model. The record is from RNAcentral. Lineage: Eukaryota; Fungi; Ascomycota; Pneumocystomycetes; Pneumocystales; Pneumocystaceae.
UAGUGAAAUACAAAUCGGACUAGGAUAUAGCUGGUUUUCUGCGAAAAUUGUUUUGGCAAAUUGUUUAUUCCUCUUAAAAAUAGUAGGUAUAGCACUGAAUAUCUCGAGGGAGUAUGAAAAUAUUUAUCUCAGAUAUUUAAUCUCAAAAUAACUAUUUCUUAAAAUAAAUAAUCAGACUAUGUGCGAUAAGGUAGAUAGUCGAAAGGGAAACAGCCCAGAACAGUAAUUAAAGCUCCCCAAUUAAUAUUAAGUGAAAUA